GGGGGCCCGCACAAGCGGUGGAGCAUGUGGUCUAAUUCGAAGCAACGCGCAGAACCUUACCACCUUUUGACAUGCCUGGACCGCCAGAGAGAUCUGGCUUUCUCUUCGGAGACUAGGACACAGGUGCUGCAUGGCUGUCGUCAGCUCGUGUCGUGAGAUGUUGGGUUAAGUCCCGCAACGAGCGCAACCCUCGUUCCAUGUUGCCAGCGCGUAAUGGCGGGGACUCAUGGGAGACUGCCGGGGUCAACUCGGAGGAAGGUGGGGACGACGUCAAAUCAUCAUGCCCCUUAUGUCUUGGGCUUCACGCAUGCUACAAUGGCCGGUACAAAGGGUUGCGAUACUGUGAGGUGGAGCUAAUCCCAAAAAGCCGGUCUCAGUUCGGAUUGGGGUCUGCAACUCGACCCCAUGAAGUCGGAGUCGCUAGUAAUCGUAGAUCAGCAACGCUACGGUGAAUACGUUCCCGGGCCUUGUACACACCGCCCGUCAAGUCAUGAAAGUCGGUAGCACCCGAAGCCGGUGGCCUAACCUUUUGGAGGGAGCCGUCGAAGGUGGGAUCGGUGAUUAGGACUAAGUCGUAACAAGGUAACCGUAAGGGC
Molecule: ribosomal RNA, 596 nt
Filed under: uncultured bacterium
Lineage: Bacteria
Description: bacterial SSU rRNA
Rfam family: Bacterial small subunit ribosomal RNA
Source: RNAcentral